GUACUACACCACCAAGGCGACGGAGUACUACAUGACUACGCAUGCUGCCCCAUCCUACUACACCGAUUCUCUUAACUGCUACACCGAGGCUCCCGCUGGUUACUCCACCAAAACGGUCGAAUACUACACCGAAGCGCCAAAGUACUAUUCUGCCCCCAUCUACACAACCACAACUGAGGCGGCCAAGUAUUACGCAGUCCCGACUUACUACACAGAAGCUGCUCUUUGGUACUACGUUGAACAGAAAUACUACACUGAUGCUCCAGUUUACUACACUACGACCUGCGCUACACCUAGCUACGACACCGCAGUCCCUAAUUACUACACCGAAGAAACCGCCUAUUACAACCACUUACGCUGCCUUGUUUACUACACCGAGGUUCCCAAGUACUACAUCACUAAGGCACUUGGAUUCUACACGUCUAUGUAUGCUGCCCCUACCUACUACACCAAGGCCCUGCAUUACUACAACACUGAAGCGCUCAAGUACUACACUACAACCUACGCUCCCCCGAGCUACUACACCUACGUCCCGAAGUUUUACUGUGCGUUAAAAGAGUCGUCUAAAAAAAAAGAAGUCGUGCCCGAACUGCAGUGCCCUAUCUGUCACCAACUGCAUUCCUCAUCGUGUAAUCCAUUCGCAAUUAUGGUCAACUAUGGCGUUGUGCUCCUGUUGGGUGUGGUAUUGUUUAUGGCUGGGUCGUCCGCUUGUGUAGCGAUGUCUCCUUGGUAUGGCGGAAACCAAACGGCGACGCCGCCACCUUCCUACACAACUUACGCUGCCCCGAGCCACUACACUGACGCCCUGAAGUAUUACUCUACCCUGAAUUACUACACCGUCUAGGCGAUGGAGUACUACAUGACUACGCAUGCUGCUCCAUCCUACUACACCGAGUCUCCUAACUGCUACACCGAGGCUCCCGCUGGUUACUCCACCAAAACGUUCAAAUACUACACCGAAGCGCCAAAGUACUAUUCUGCCCCGAUCUACACAACCACAACUGAGGCGGCCAAGUAUUACGCAGUCCCGACUUACUACACAGAAGCUGCUCUUUGGUACUACAUUGAACA
RNA transcript from Daphnia pulicaria, 1071 nucleotides. It is a transcript of the gene named extensin-2-like, with no coding region annotated. Lineage: Eukaryota; Metazoa; Arthropoda; Branchiopoda; Diplostraca; Daphniidae. The transcript is spliced from 5 exons. The record is from RefSeq and is a predicted model, not a curated record.